Molecule: long non-coding RNA, 4939 nt
Organism: Dermochelys coriacea (leatherback sea turtle)
Lineage: Eukaryota; Metazoa; Chordata; Testudines; Dermochelyidae
Exons: 2
Source: RefSeq, a predicted model, not a curated record
UUAUUACACAAGUCAAGACUCUCGAAUGAAUGUUAUAAUUUGAUUUUCUGUAUAACCAUUUGUUUCCAAUACUUCUACUUGCACCUCUAUGCUUUGUUAAACUUUUUUUCCCCCACUAUAAACAAGUCAGGGUGCUGUGAGUUAAGCAGAGCAGUGAUCUGAGGUAUACUGCUUCUUUGGAAGCAGUGGAUUAGUGAAAACAGAGUGUGUAGUUGAACUAGGGGUUCAACAUUCCAGGGAGAUGCUUAGGGGGCUCAAGAGUUGGAGUGUAUCUAUUGCUAACCUGUAGAGUAACAGCAGUCCUAUGAGGGCUAGAAGGGAGUACUUGUAUUGCCUGAGGCUGAUGGAGUUGGGGAGCUGACCACAGCAGGAACAGACAAGGCUUCCUCAAGCUAAGGGCAGGUGGUAAGGAAGUGCCUCAUGUUGUUCCAGCAUUCAAUAAUGUCUCUGAAAUAGCAAUUAAAGUAUGUUAUACUGAGACAGGAAGUGUUAGCCAGGAUAUGGGGUUUAUUCCCCGUUUUCUUAGUGAAGUAUUCAAUCCAAUAUUUAGAUGCAAAUGUCUAGCUUCCUAAAGUUUGGGACAAGUUUUAGACACUGAGUUUUGGCUUCUCCCCAUAUAAAGACCAGAGAGAGAUUUGGAAAAUUUGAAUCAAACUCUGUUUGGUUUUCAAACAUCUCAAAAAUAUAAAGGGGAUAUGGAUCCAGGAGCUUACGUCAAGGCUCCUUUGUUAUAUGGCUCACCAAGGGAUCUUUAACUUCCACCUAGACAGCUAUCAGAGAUGGACAGAGAGGAACUCAGUUUAGUAUCUUACUUGAAAGUCUGAACAACUAACAGUGCACUCCAUUGCACUACAGAAGAGCUUUGCAUGUUUUCCACAUAAUUUAUACUUGAGGCCAAAAUUUUAAAGUGCAUAUACCACAUUUGAACAUGCAAAUGUCUGUUUGCAUGUAUAGAAUGGAUUGUCAACUGCUUGAGUGCAUAUUGAAUAUUGGUAUUGCCAAUCACACUUGUAAUCAUUCAAAUGCAGAAUUCGUAGACAUCAGGUCUAGAGAAUUUUACUUCCUGCUUGAGUAAAUUGUUUGUGUACAUUCAAUUAUAAUAAUUAAUUUGGACCAAGAUAAGGUCCACACUGCCAAGAUUUAGGAAUACAGUACAGACCUUGUGAUUGGUUUCAUUUAAUAAUUUUUGAUAGAAAGCCCACACAAAUCCACUAAUCACCCAAAAGAUUUCUUAGGGCACAGUAGUAAUACAUAAAUUCAUUAUGGGAAUGCUUGGUAAAGUGUCUCAGCUCACCUUGGACAACUUCAACAAUUACUGAAAUAAACAGAACCAGAAAGAGGACAGUAGUUGGUAUUUGGAAAGGGGAUACUCAUAAUUACAUACUCUAGUUAUGUCUUUCUAACAUAAUAGUGAAAAUACAGCAGUACUUGGUAGCUCAGAGCAUAAAUAGAUGAGUGGUAGGAAGCUGAUCAGAAUCUUGAGUUUUAUAAACAGCAAAUCUAUUUGGUAUAAUCUGGGGGGGGAAGAAUAAUCAAUCAAUCAAUCAAUCAAUCAAUCAAUCUCCUUCUAUAAAUGUCCAAAAGCCAAAGCUAUUACAACAAACAAGAAAUGCAUCCCAGCAAGCCUCAUGCUUGAUGUAUUUGCCUUGAAGCACCUGCAUUACUCUAACUGUCUGGGCUUCAUAAUUAAUCAGAACUGUUGGAACAUAUCAAAACCCCAAGCUUUAGCUUCCGCUGACUUUGAUAUAGCUAACCUGCAACUCAGGAAACACAAAGAUGGACAGCAGAGUAUUGGUAAGCAGUUGUGUAUUAGAUGAUCACUUGCAAUUUUGGAGGACAUUCCAUUUACUAGCCCAAAAUACAUGGUUGUGCAAGUGCAAACAUAAAAAGCAGACAAUCAUUUGAGAUUCUAGAAAGCUCUUUGCUUUUGUUCACUAAUGUAAAACAGGACAUUGAAAUAAGAAAAUGAGAAAUAAUAACUGUAUUGGUUCAGUAGGCAAAACAAUAAAACAUGAAAAUAACUGUUCUUUAACUUUGGCCUCAGACACUAUGUAUGGACAGGUUUCAGAGUAGCAGCCAUGUUAGUCUGUUCUGCAAAAAGAAAAAAGGAGUACUUGUGGCACCUUAGAGACUACAAAUUUAUUUGAGCAUAAGCUUUCGAGAGCUACAGAUCACUUCAUCAGAUGCAUAGUAACUCUGUAGCGUAGACCACAGCUUAGAGCAGUGGUUCUCAACCUGCAGCUCAAAUCAGCACACAGCUGUGGUCCAUGUGACAUCCUCAGGGCCAUACAGGUAGUAUAUAUACACACCCUGUGGAUGGGGCCCACAUAACACAGAAAGCUGCAUAUGCAGCUUACAAUGGUAAAUAGGUUUAGAAUGUCAUGGCUAAAUACAAGAUGGACCAGAUUGUUAAACAUAUGAAGUUCAUUUUGAAUGGUUUCUUGUACUAUGUGUUAAGUGGGCAGUUAAUAGUUUCUGCAGUCAUAGGACAAAGGAGGGUAAGUGGGUUACAGACCUUUCUAAUGAGCUAUAAAUCCAACGUUUUUACGGUCUGAUUUUUAGUAUCUAACAAGGUUAUGAUUUAAGGUCCCAGGCUCAUCUUUUGAAAGUGUUGUGCAUUUCCUUUGAGGAUGAGGAUUGGGGAAGUCAGCUAUGGUGUUAUGGAGGAGAGGGUGUUGAUCAUCCUAGCCGUAGACAUCUCUCUCUAUAGGUCCAAAAACUACCUCAGGCAUACCAAGAAAUCUUAUUUACAGCCAGGUACUCAGAUACCACAGAACAUGCUCCAAAGAGAAAGUCCUUAAAAUCACCUUCAGCAAACAAGGACACCACCAGAGAAGUAGAUCACAUCAUGGAAUGGGCCACCCAAGUAUCCCGAGAGUAUUAAUAUGGCGCGCACACACACACACACAAAAAACAAACAAGAAAGCCUCCAACUGCACACCCCUUGUUGUCACCUACCACCCCGCACUGCAACCCAAAAGGGAUAUCAUUGAACAAUUACAACCCAUACUCAAUGGGGACCACCUCCUGAAAGAAAUCUUUCCUGAACUCCCUCCUUUUCUGGCUUUGAAACAACUCCUGAACACUGGAGCUUAUUCCGAUGAUGAGCUUGUCCACAGACCAGGAUACACCAACUCAAAGCAGCACUGAAGCCUAUCCUAACAAAAGCAGCAAAACCUACAGACAUAUCUCCACUGCUAUGAUGAUCAAUAUCCCUUCACAAUACACCUUUCAAGAUCCAUGGGUCCUAUACAUGUCUAUCACCACAUGUGCCAUCAUCAUCCAGUGCACUAAAUUCCCCAAAAGCAUGGGUGUAACCGGACAAUGGCUGUAUUUUCAAAUGAACACAGAAAAAUGAUAAAAGACAAAAACACCAUGUGACCCAGGAGCAAACAAUUUUCACCAAAAUCACUCCAUAUCAGACCUCUCAGGCCUCAUUCCCAAAGGAAAUCUGAGCACAACCUUCAAAAAACCAGCCUAAAUUCAUAAUUUUGCUAGAUAAUAAAAAUCAUGGACUCAGUAAAAAUACUGGAUUUAUGGCUCAUUAUAAUGAUCUGUAAUCCACUAACCUCCUCUAUUUGUCCUAUAACUGCAGCAGUAUUAAUUGACCACUUCACCUUGAAUGAUCUCUUGCAAUAUGUGUUAAUGCCAGUUGUAUCAUGGCAGCAGACAGUACAGUAGGUCUGCAAACCAUGGUCAUUGAACAACCGCUUCCGCUGCCAUUCUGCUCUCCUGGUAGUCUUGCAGGGUCGCUUCCGUGGCAACUCUGCUCAGCUGCUCUUGUCUCGCCAUACCAUGGCAAGUGUUUUUUUCGCCUUCUUGUCUGUGCUAGCCUCUGGGACAGAGAUGCUAGUCUCAGCAUUGAAAUAUUUGCAGCUGUGGGAGGGAAAAAAAAGAAAAGAGAUUGGCCAUUUAAAAGGAGGGGCUGAUGUUUUCGGGUUAACGUGCAGCACAAACCUGACUAACACCCCCCCCCCACACACACACACACACACACACCACCAAUUCUCUGGGAUGAUCGCUUCAUCCCUCCCCCUACCGUGUGGCUAACGGCGGGGAUGAUUUCUUUUCAGUCAUAGGCAAACAGCCCAGCAGGAACGGCCACCUCUGAUGUCUUCUUAAUAAAAUUCCCCUACCAACAUGGUCAACCAGGUGACCAUGAAUGAUAUCACUCUCCUGAGGAGAGCACAGAGAGAGAAAGAACGGAUGUUGCUUGAAUGCCAGCAAACACCGGGACCGCACGCUGCCAUGCUUUCUUAUGUAACGAUUCCAGACUAUGUGCUACUGGCCUGCCGUGGUAAAGCAUCCUACCAUGGAGGAUGCAAUAAGGCUGCCCUCCCCAGAAGCCUUUUGCAGAGGCUUUGGGAGUACCUCCAGGACAGCUUCAUUGAGAUGUCCCUGGAGGAUUUCCGCUCCAUUCCCAGACACAUUAACACUUUUCCAGUAGCUGUACUAGCUGCGAAUGCAUCCCAGGGCAUUCUUCAGGGCAAAAAUCAAUCAUUAAAACACAUUUGCUUUUAAACUAUGUAUUACAUUUACAAAAAUGUACCAUAAGGUGAGGGAGGCAAACCAUCACUCUGGUGCUGCAUCUAAGACUUGCCAGUUCUAUAAGGAGCUGGACGCUAUCCUCGCUGGUGACCCCAGCUCCACUGCCAAGAACCCCAUGGAUACUUGGUGGGCGUGGAGGCAGCAGAAAGAGGACCUAACCUGGAGGGUGAAGUCAUUGAUGAAGAGGUGGAGUUGACUAUGAUAUGGAGCUCCCAGUGGGGCAGGCAGCCAGGAACUGUUCACCACUAUGGAGGCGUCUAGCUAGUCUCAGUGGCUGCUCUCUGGGGAGCAAGAAGCAGGAGAGGAGAUGCCUGAUGUGGCUUUCAGGAACACCCCAGACAGCAGCCGAGCGUCUCCACCAGAUAAGAAAGUGCCCAAGACACAGCAAAGA